RNAcentral lists this ribosomal RNA (230 nucleotides) under uncultured Alicycliphilus sp. RNAcentral's name for it is "partial 16S ribosomal RNA". It matches the Rfam family "Bacterial small subunit ribosomal RNA", at positions 548 to 774 of the family's 1533-position model. The record is from RNAcentral. Lineage: Bacteria; Pseudomonadati; Pseudomonadota; Betaproteobacteria; Burkholderiales; Comamonadaceae.
AGAGAUGCACUGGGUGUAAAGUGUGCGCAGGCGGUUUUGUAAGACAGAGGUGAAAUCCCCGGGCUCAACCUGGGAACUGCCUUUGUGACUGCAAGGCUGGAGUGCGGCAGAGGGGGAUGGAAUUCCGCGUGUAGCAGUGAAAUGCGUAGAUAUGCGGAGGAACACCGAUGGCGAAGGCAAUCCCCUGGGCCUGCACUGACGCUCAUGCACGAAAGCGUGGGGAGCAAACA